This is a long non-coding RNA of Asparagus officinalis (garden asparagus), 1696 nucleotides long. RefSeq lists it as uncharacterized. Lineage: Eukaryota; Viridiplantae; Streptophyta; Magnoliopsida; Asparagales; Asparagaceae. The record is from RefSeq and is a predicted model, not a curated record. The transcript is spliced from 2 exons.
AUGUCUCUAUGUGUCUCUGGAUUUAUGCGGCAAUUCCAACAUGCUAGGACUUAUGACAGAACAAAACGCUUAUGACUUACUUUAGAGCUUAAAGGGAACUAUGUGCAAUAUACUUCUUAGUGCGUAAAUUUUAUGAAUGCUGGACUUGUAGUUACAAAAUAGCGCCUAUAAAUGCAUAUACUAUUCUUUGGUUUCUCUGUGUAGUUCUCAUGGGAGCCCAAGAUUUGUAUGCAUAAUAAGGUGCAUACCUCCAUUUCUUUCUGCCGAGGUAAAAUCCUAUUCUAUUGACCUGCGAACCUCCACAAGUAGGUCGGUUGAAACUUAAAUUUGGCAUAGCUUUAAUUGGAAAUGAAUUCAGGGUAGGUGCUCUGCUUGAAGUUUACUAGUUAUCUAUAUAAUGGAUUAAAGGUCCUGCGUUUAUUCGGAAGAAGUCAAUGGUGCAGUAGACUGGCUAGUGUCAUGGGAAGUUUAAGGAUAACUAGUAUGAACCUGCAUCAUCAUUUGAUCUCGUGCUCCUUGGACGAGGAGGGUAGAGUUUAUGAGAAUGAUGUAAUUUGUCAUUAUCAACUCACAUGUAACUGCUAAAAGGUUUGCAUUUUUUCCCUGGAACUUUAUCCAGGAAUAAAAGUUCCUUGGUGAUGUAUAAUAAUGUCUAGUGAAAGGCUGCAUUCAACAAUGAGCUUUACCCCGGGGCUAACUCAUCUGAGAAAGGCUUGAAGACAUCACUUUGCAGAGUAGCAGAUUGUGAUCAAAUUAUGUGCUUGAUAUUAUUGCCUUUGUAUUCUUCCUCCUUACCUCAAAUUGCACAUAAAAGUUAUAUCCUGCUGAUCUUUUAUGUGUUGUUUUCCCAUUACUGUACUAUUAUAUUAUUAUUAUAUGAUGAUAUGACGACGUCAUUGUAUUAUGCCCACUCUUCUCUCUACUUUAUAGGGCCAUCCGGGUUUUACCUAAGUAGUAGAUUAGUUCAAGCUCGAGCAUCAGGAAGUACCCUCUUGUUUUAUUGAGGGGCUGUGGUUUCAAGCAUCUUCAGAUUAUAACAUCACACUCGUUGUCUUACCCUACAAUCAUGGACAAUCAUUUUGGUUACAUGUUAUAUUCUUGAUGUGUUUAAGGCGUCGGACAUCUUUUAUCUUGACCUUGCAGAUCCAGAAGAAAUGAGAAGCCAAGGAGGGUUGGCUGACAUGUUCCCUAGAGCUGCUACAGGAGCUAAUAGGAGAAUUUAGUUAACAAAUAUUUUGGAAGUGUAGUUUUGAAUCCUGGAAAAGAGUUAUAUCUUCAAUUUCGGUUGCUUUCUUGUUUGGAUUUUAAUGAGCUAGACAGAGGAAUCCUGCAUGAUCUAGUUUUCGUAUUUACGCUCACAGUUUGGAUAUUUUCUCGCAUUUUAGUUUCAUCUGUGUUUCAUACAUGUUCAGAAUUUGAACGCAACAGUGUCUUUUAAUGUUUGACCAAAUUUUUUGCACUUUGAUACUUUCUGAUGCUUCUUCAGCAUGUCACGAUGUUGCUCUAGCCUUCAGGGGAAAUAUUGAGGUCUCUAUGGUGAUUUCGGAUUCUAACCCUUGCUAUGAAGACGCACAUAUGAAGCUUGCUGCAGUACUUUUAAUGUUGCUAUUGAGUCCAACUGAGUGUUAUGUUUGUUUCCUGGUCUUUUCUUUCUUCUGUCAUGAUCCUGUUCAUGCCUGAACAUUUGAAAGAUGGG